UACGGGGGGGGCAAGCGUUGUUCGGAAUUACUGGGCGUAAAGGGGACGUAGGCGGCCAACUAAGUCCGACGUGAAAUCCCAAGGCUUAACCUUGGAACUGCGUCGGAUACUGGAUGGCUUGAAUUCGGGAGAGGGAUGCAGAAUUCCAGGUGCAGCGGUGAAAUGCGUAGAUAUCUGGAGGAAUACCGGUGGCGAAGGCGGCAUCCUGGACCGACAUUGACGCUGAAGGCCGAAAGCUAGGGGAGCAAACGGG
RNAcentral lists this ribosomal RNA (253 nucleotides) under uncultured bacterium. Its description in RNAcentral is "partial 16S ribosomal RNA". It matches the Rfam family "Bacterial small subunit ribosomal RNA", at positions 524 to 776 of the family's 1533-position model. The record is from RNAcentral.